Pelodiscus sinensis (Chinese soft-shelled turtle) is the source of this 3844-nucleotide non-coding RNA. Lineage: Eukaryota; Metazoa; Chordata; Testudines; Trionychidae. The record is from RefSeq and is a predicted model, not a curated record.
UACACAGUAUUAUGAGGUUGGGGAAGGCAUUUGUACUCUGGUAAGCUUUAAUGUCUGUUUCUCUUCCAAGCACAUGCCCAGAGUCGAUAGUGGCAUAGGAUAUGUGUUGUCAUUUUCAGAUGGACCAGGAGCCAGCAAAGAACUCAGCUGGAUGCCACUCACUCUGUGGGGCCUUGGUGUAUGAUGUCUGUCCACGUGGCACAAAGGUGCAAAUUCCAUCACUGCUAACCAGCAUACAUAAAGGAGUUCCAGUUCUUUAAAUCCACACCCAGAGCGUUGCUCCUGCAAACUGCAGAUGCAGAUGGGUGGUGUUAAAACUGAAACCAACCAAGAAACUUUGGCAGAGAGAAUGUGAACAACGGAAUUCCUUUUGCAAAAGCCUGGGAAAGCUCCCUCAAACAAAGGGCUUGCUUAAGUCUUCCCUGCAGAUCUCCUGGUGUUUGAACACAGCUGUGAAGGGAACAGGAAGCUGAAAUAGUGCAGCCCACACCUUUGCUGUUAGCUACACAAAUUGUCCUCUGCCAGGUGACAGCUGGUCUUGACUAAAUCCUGAGGGCUGGAGGAACUGAGAUGGCUAUUACAUAGAGUCACUAUUUAGUUAUGACUUAAGACAACUUAGUGGCUGUGGUCUCUGAUUAGAUCACAUUGAAUUUUAAAGAUUAUUAUUUUUCUUUUCAUGAGCUAAAGUUCUUUAGGUUGCCUUCAACUUAACGUGCUAAGAUUUCUUUUAAGCUUAAAAUACUAACUCUGCAUUUCGUGGGUUUGUAAUGCUUAUUUUAUGGAUAGUCACAACAUCCCUGAGACAGUGCUUUAAAAAGGGACUGUCCUGGCCAAUGUGCAUUGUAUGGUCACCCUAGUCCAAGGACACAGUUGGAAAAUCACUGAAGUGGAGAAUGUGGCAGGUUUCCCCCUUCAUUGUCAUCUGAACCGGGGGAACCAGUGAGCCUUCUGACCCACUAGUCUGGGUUUCCCCUCUCCCUGUAGUGUUGUGACAAGCUGCUGACCUCCCAGUCCUGCACUUUCACCAACAUUCACAAAGCUAGGACACACCCAGCUGUAGUUACCUGCAGACUCUCUGACCAUCCACUGUGAGCCAACAGUAAAGAGGCUACCGUCAAAAUAACCACCAGCUUCCCAGCCUGGGACCCCGGAGCAGUACCAUCCUGGCUGGGUCAAAAUCCCCAACCAGUGUGAAUUUAUCAUCCAGUUUACCUCCUGCUCAGUGUGGAAGGAAUGCAACAACCUUUGCCCCUUGAGCUAACAUUUCCAAGCACUUCAUUCAAACUCAUUGGUUUAGAUUAAAACAUAAAAUAAGUUUAAUUUAAUUUAACUUAAAUUAAAUUAAAACAUAUAAGUGGCAAGAAACAUCAAAGCAGAUUACCUAGUAAAUAAAAACACAAACUAAGUCUAACAUCCUAGAAAGAUGGGAUUUAAAUCAGCAAAUUCUCACUCUGGCUGAUGAUACAAGUAGGCUUGCAGACUCUUAAGGGACAAGCUGCAUUUGCUUUGCAGCUUGGGAUCCCCAUUCCCAUUCCAAGUAUUUUCCCUUUAGGAGCUUCUAUUAGAUGUUCAGUUCUGAGGGAGUGAAGAAUCACAGAUGAUGCCACUCUCUGCCUUAUAUACUUUAGUAUAGGCCAAGAAACCUUUGUUUCAAAUUUGAUCCCCAGGCAAGUUUGUAGAAAAAUUGACAUCCCAAAAUGGAAUCCAGAAUUGUGUAGCCUGGUCAUAACAGUCAUUACUUACAUGCUGUCCAACAGAUCUUCAAGAAGUCUUACUGAAUGGGAGAUAAGAUUCCUAAUGGACCACCACUUUGAAUAGACCCGUCAGAACUUUGAAUAGACUUUUCAAAAUUUUGUCAAGCAGGUGUCACCCAGCUCUGGUUACAUGUGAAAUACAGAUUCCUAGUCAAUAUUCAUUAUUCAGAUACAACAGCGAUAUGUGCAUAUCAAUAAGAUAUUUAGCAAAUCACAGCUUAUGCAAAAAAUACCAUGCAUGACUUAUCUUGUACAAAAUGCAUCAUAAUUAUUUCAAUAUCAUAAUAAUAUAACUGAAGAGUAUGGGGUACAAAUACAGAGGGGUUCCUUGGCCUUACCCUUUUUUUUCUGGCCACAACCUGACAAUGGGGCCCAAGAAGAUGAAAAUCCUGUAAAUGCCCAACCAAAGAAGUCUCCAGGUGCUCUGUUCCUGAUGAUAGGGUCUGAGAACAGUAUUUCCAACCCCAAGAAUUCAAAGGAUCAGAUUGGCUUAAAAUGAUGAGAUUGGGAGUGUAAUUUAUUUCCCCUCUGGUUUUUGAGUCUUUAGGGUGCAUUCAGGUCAUGUUUUCAAUCUUCAGGCUUUUCCUAGCAACUAUGAACACUAAAACCAAUUUUCUUUAAGGGAUAGCAGAAAAAUAACAGUAGCUGGAGAAUAUUUUCAUUCCUCCAUAAACUUGGGCUUUAAGAAAACCCUCAAAUAUUAUGACUUGUGAUACAACCAUGAGAGUUAGCAACCUUAUUAGAAUGGAUCUUUGGUCUUGCUAAUCAAGCUGUGUUGUGAAAGAAAAAUCAUGGUCAUCGUUGUUUUUUGACUGGAUGGAAAUAACUUACAGUUGGGCUUCGAGUGAAUGUAUAACUUUUCUGCAACUAUUCUUGCUAAUAUACACCCACUCCUAGAUUUCCCAGAUGGUACAUGCUGCAUAAUUCCUUCAAAAAUCAAUGUUGCUACAUCAACUUACAACAGCUGAGGUUCUGGGCUAUGUAGGUGUGUACAGUGCUUAGCACAGAGGUCUUGAACAAUAAGAAUUAAAAGCAGCAAUGAAGCUUAAUCACAUGGUGAUUAGAAGUCACCAAAGAAGCACAGAGAUGGCUGAUACAAAUUAAUGUAAACAUUGAAAUAAAUAUUUACAGAAUUAUUUUGCAGUGGCUUAUAAGGUUAGGUCAGUCCUCCUUACCAAUGAAAGAAAGAUAUGCAGAGUGGUUGUUUUCCCUAGGUAACAUCAGUGAACACUGGGCUUGGUAAUAAACAAGAGAUUUUAUUAAGUAUAAAAAGUAGGAUUGAAAUGGUUAAAAGUGAAAACAUUCAGAUGUAAGUAGUUUACUAAUUAAAAUGAAUAGAAAAUGCAUAGAUAAUUCUAAUCAUCUAAGAAAUUUGUUGCAUGCAAAUUCUUACUCUAAACAGCUGUUCUUAUUUCAGGUAUAAGCUUUCAGAUUUGGCCUUUUACUCUGAUUUGGGUUUACAGCCCUCAAAGUUUUUGUGUAUCCUAGUAGGGUGUUCCAGGCAGUUUUGAAAAAAACAGCUGAAGACAAAGGGUUUGAUUGCUUCCCUUUGCUUAAAUAGACUUUCCCACAGGGUGGGAAUAUUUUGUUUUGCAUCUCCCAUCUCCAUGGAAUAUUACCAGGUUCAAAAUGGAUUCCAGUACCACAUGACAUGUCUUUCUAGGACCAACCACCAUUUGGGCUUGCAGGACAAGCGUGGCUGUUUACAAGGUAUUGAAUUGAUCACAGAGUUAUUAAAUUUCCGGACACCAAUAACAGCCCCCUCUAACACAUUAAGAAGUAUAAACAGAUCCACACUUCUAACUUCACGUACAAGAAUAGUACAUGCAUAAAAAUAGGAUAGUCGGCUCCAGAAGUUUGUAACUAUAAAAUUGAUAGGUUACAUGACCUGUUUGCAUAAAGCAUCUUUGUGUUUUUCAUAUUCAUAUUCACAAGCCAAUUUUCAUAAGGCAUGGGGGGGCAUCUCAAUCAUUUAGUUCAAUAGAGUAUAAAUUGCUCUUAUGCAGAUUUUUUCACAUAGUGGCUACGUCUAGACUGGCAUGAUUUUCCGCAAAUGCAAUCGCCAUUUUCGCCAUCAGGGCUUUUUUGCA